UGUUUAUUUUGAUUUGAGUAUUCGAGGCAAAGAAUUACUGUAAAUUCAAUGACUGGAUUACUGGUACUGUGAAGCCUGCAAAUAAGGAAGUUGCUUAUGACACUGAAACAGAUAUGAAGAUUGAGGGAUUUGUCCAGCAGUGUCACAUUUUCUUCCAAAUCUGCUAUUCUUGGUGUGAAGAAUACAACCACAAAGCUUGAGAAGUUGAAGUUUUCUGAUGGUCAACAUGUCAUCAUACCGCAGCAUAUCCAAGUCCCCGAUGCGGUAAAGAAUGUAUUAAUCUUUGGAAGCCUUGAUGCAAGUUUUGGGGUCGGGGAGAACUGUGUAGUAGAUGGUGAAAGCAAUGGGAGCUUUAACCCUGUUACCGAUUCAGUUCACAAGGAACCUGUCAGCGAGCUUUCUUUAUAUGUGCACAUCGGUUUCAGUGGCUUCAGUCUACUAUUAAAGGUAUUCAAUAAUCCGAGGGAGCGGCCUUUCACCUUUGAGGAGAUAGAUGAAGUUCAAGAAAUGUUGGCAAACUUCAUUACCAGUGAUUGUCUUUGAUAUUUUCUUGUACUGAAUCUUAAAUUAUGGAUUCUAGCUAGU
This is a long non-coding RNA of Spinacia oleracea (spinach), 585 nucleotides long. RefSeq lists it as uncharacterized. Lineage: Eukaryota; Viridiplantae; Streptophyta; Magnoliopsida; Caryophyllales; Amaranthaceae. The transcript is spliced from 4 exons. The record is from RefSeq and is a predicted model, not a curated record.